AGUGAACGCUGGCGGCGUGCUUAACACAUGCAAGUCGAACGAGAACGGAUUAUAGCUUGCUAUAAUUGUCAGCUAAGUGGCGCACGGGUGAGUAAUGUAUAGGUAAUAUGCCUCUUACUAAGGGAUAACAAAUGAAAACGUUUGCUAAUACCUUAUACUCCUUAUUAACUUAAGUUAAUAAGGGAAAGAUUUAUUGGUAAGAGAUUAGCCUGUAUUGUAUCAGUUAGUUGGUGGGGUAAUGGCUUACCAAGACUAUGACACAUAACUGGUUUAAGAGGAUGAUCAGGAACACUUGAACUGAGACACGGUCCAGACUACUACGGGAGGCAGCAGUGGGGAAUAUUGCACAAUGGACGAAAGUCUGAUGCAGCAACGCCGCGUGGAGGAUGACACAUUUCGGUGCGUAAACUCCUUUUAUAUGAGAAGAUAAUGACGGUAUUAUAUGAAUAAGCACCGGCUAACUCCGUGCCAGCCGCCGCAGUAA
Molecule: ribosomal RNA, 484 nt
Filed under: uncultured bacterium
Lineage: Bacteria
Description: partial 16S ribosomal RNA
Rfam family: Bacterial small subunit ribosomal RNA
Source: RNAcentral